RNAcentral lists this ribosomal RNA (425 nucleotides) under uncultured bacterium. RNAcentral describes it as "partial 16S ribosomal RNA". It matches the Rfam family "Bacterial small subunit ribosomal RNA", at positions 354 to 796 of the family's 1533-position model. The record is from RNAcentral.
GUGGGGAAUAUUGGACAAUGGGCGCAAGCCUGAUCCAGCCAUGCCGCGUGAGUGAUGAAGGCCUUAGGGUUGUAAAGCUCUUUCACCGGUGAAGAUAAUGACGGUAACCGGAGAAGAAGCCCCGGCUAACUUCGUGCCAGCAGCCGCGGUAAUACGAAGGGGGCUAGCGUUGUUCGGAAUUACUGGGCGUAAAGCGCACGUAGGCGGAUAUUUAAGUCAGGGGUGAAAUCCCAGAGCUCAACUCUGGAACUGCCUUUGAUACUGGGUAUCUCGAGUAUGGAAGAGGUAAGUGGAAUUCCGAGUGUAGAGGUGAAAUUCGUAGAUAUUCGGAGGAACACCAGUGGCGAAGGCGGCUUACUGGUCCAUUACUGACGCUGAGGUGCGAAAGCGUGGGGAGCAAACAGGAUUAGAAACCCCGGUAGUCC